This 482-nucleotide ribosomal RNA is filed under the name uncultured bacterium. Its description in RNAcentral is "partial 16S ribosomal RNA". It matches the Rfam family "Bacterial small subunit ribosomal RNA", at positions 30 to 507 of the family's 1533-position model. The record is from RNAcentral.
UUGAACGCUGGCGGCAUGCCUUACACCUGCAAGUCGCACGGCAGCGCGGACUUCGGUCUGGCGGCGAGUGGCGAACGGGUGAGUAAUACAUCGGAACGUACCCUGUUGUGGGGGAUAACUAGUCGAAAGAUUAGCUAAUACCGCAUACGACCUGAGGGUGAAAGUGGGGGACCGCAAGGCCUCACGCAGCAGGAGCGGCCGAUGUCUGAUUAGCUAGUUGGUGGGGUAAAGGCCCACCAAGGCGACGAUCAGUAGCUAGUCUGAGAGGACGAUCAGCCACACUGGGACUGAGACACGGCCCAGACUCCUACGGGAGGCAGAGUGGGGAAUUUUGGACAAUGGGGGCAACCCUGAUCCAGCAAUGCCGCGUGUGUGAAGAAGGCCUUCGGGUUGUAAAGCACUUUUGUCCGGAAAGAAAUCGCGCUGGUUAAUACCUGGCGUGGAUGACGGUACCGGAAGAAUAAGCACCGGCUAACUACGUG